UGGGGAAUAUUGCGCAAUGGAGGAAACUCUGACGCAGCAACGCCGCGUGAAAGAAGAAGGCUUUCGGGUUGUAAACUUCUUUGAUCGGGGACGAAGAUGACGGUACCCGAGGAACAAGCCACGGCUAACUACGUGCCAGCAGCCGCGGUAAUACGUAGGUGGCAAGCGUUGUCCGGAACUACUGGGUGUAAAGGGCGUGUAGGCGGGGUGGCAAGUCAGAUGUGAAAUACCGUGGCUUAACUGCGGGGGUGCAUCUGAAACUGCUGCUCUUGAGUGUCGGAGAGGAAAGUGGAAUUCCCAGUGUAGCGGUGAAAUGCGUAGAGAUUGGGAGGAACACCAGUGGCGAAGGCGGCUUUCUGGACGAUAACUGACGCUGAGGCGCGAAAGCGUGGGUAGCAAACAGGAUUAGAUACCCUGGUAGUCCACGCCGUAAACGAUGGAUACUAGGUGUAGGAGGUAUCGACCCCUUCUGUGCCGGAGUUAACACAAUAAGUAUCCCACCUGGGGAGUACGGCCGCAAGGUUG
This 525-nucleotide ribosomal RNA is filed under the name uncultured bacterium. RNAcentral describes it as "bacterial SSU rRNA". It matches the Rfam family "Bacterial small subunit ribosomal RNA", at positions 355 to 896 of the family's 1533-position model. The record is from RNAcentral.